UACGGGGGGGGUAAGCGUUGUUCGGAAUUACUGGGCGUAAAGGGCUCGUAGGCGGCCAACUAAGUCAGACGUGAAUUCCCUCAGCUUAACUGGGGAACUGCGUCUGAUACUGGAUGGCUUGGAUUCGGGAGAGGAAUGCGGAAUUCCAGGUGUAGCGGUGAAAUGCGUAGAUAUCUGGAGGAACACCGGUGGCGAAGGCGGCAUUCUGGACCGACAUUGACGCUGAGGAGCGAAAGCCAGGGGAGCAAACGGG
Molecule: ribosomal RNA, 253 nt
Filed under: uncultured bacterium
Lineage: Bacteria
Description: partial 16S ribosomal RNA
Rfam family: Bacterial small subunit ribosomal RNA
Source: RNAcentral